AACGCACAUUGCGCCCGCUAGUAUUCUGGCGGGCAUGCCUGUUCGAGCGUCAUUUCAACCAUCAAGCGCCUGCGCUUGUGUUGGAGCCCUGCGGCUGCCGCAGGCUCCCAAACCCAGUGGCGGGCUCGUCGUCGUACCGAGUGCAGUAAACUUACCACGCUCAGGGCACGCGACGGGUGACCGGCCGUAAAACCUCCCCCUUCUCAAGGUUGACCUCGGAUCAGGUAGGAAUACCCGCUGAACUUAA
Molecule: unclassified non-coding RNA, 247 nt
Filed under: uncultured Lasiosphaeriaceae
Lineage: Eukaryota; Fungi; Ascomycota; Sordariomycetes; Sordariales; Lasiosphaeriaceae
Description: sequence contains ITS2
Source: RNAcentral